Molecule: ribosomal RNA, 324 nt
Filed under: uncultured bacterium
Lineage: Bacteria
Description: bacterial SSU rRNA
Rfam family: Bacterial small subunit ribosomal RNA
Source: RNAcentral
AACGAACGCUGGCGGCGUGCCUAACACAUGCAAGUCGAACGAGAAAGGGGCUUCGGCUCCGAGUAAAGUGGCGCACGGGUGAGUAACACGUAGGUAACCUACCUCUAAGAUUGGGAUAACCUGUCGAAAGACGAGCUAAUACCGAAUAAGACCACAGCUUCCUUGGAAGCAGGGGUCAAAGGUAGCCUCUACUUGUAAGCUAUCACUUAGAGAUGGACCUGCGUACCAUUAGCAGUUGGUGAGGUAACGGCUCACCAAGGCAAAGAUGGUUAGCUGGUCUGAGAGGAUGAUCAGCCACACUGGAACUGAGACACGGUCCAGACU